Molecule: transfer RNA, 67 nt
Filed under: Trimma emeryi (Emery's goby)
Lineage: Eukaryota; Metazoa; Chordata; Actinopteri; Gobiiformes; Gobiidae
Description: tRNA-Ser
Source: RNAcentral
GAAAGAGGCUUGCAGCAACAAAGGCCGCUACCCUUCGUUACUUCGGUUGGACUCCGAUGCUCUUUCA